This 375-nucleotide long non-coding RNA is filed under the name Elaeis guineensis (African oil palm). RNAcentral describes it as "long non-coding RNA (EGUI_LNC072273)". Lineage: Eukaryota; Viridiplantae; Streptophyta; Magnoliopsida; Arecales; Arecaceae. The record is from RNAcentral.
CGCUGUGGUGAGUGGGACACGCGGCGAAAAGAGAUCGGUUAGAGGGGAUUCGCAAUCAUCAUUAUGCCGGAUCUCGGGGCCUAUUUAAACCCGCACUCCUCCUCCAAGAGUCCCGCUCUAUCCGACGGUCUCGUUCUGGCGCCCUUCUUCUCCCUGAGAACUCUGAUUUUUCUCAGUGCCCUUUCCAGCCUUAGGCGUUCCUCGAGCCGUCCCCAUUUCCGCACCUUCGCACCUCUCCGAAUCGCUUAGGUUAGUCUCGGAACUCCUUCCUCUUUUUGUUCUUCCUUUUGCCGUUCGAUCUUUCUUCCUCUUGCUCUGCACAUCAGUCCUCCGAGACCUUGUCCGUGAUUUUCCCCGAUUUUUAGGGAUUUCGCC